AUACGGAGGGUCCAAGCGUUAUCCGGAUUCAUUGGGUUUAAAGGGUCCGCAGGCGGGAAAAUAAGUCAGUGGUGAAAGCCUACAGCUCAACUGUAGAACUGCCAUUGAUACUGUUUUUCUUGAGUAUAGAUGGAGUGGGCGGAAUAUAUCAUGUAGCGGUGAAAUGCAUAGAUAUGAUAUAGAACACCGAUUGCGAAGGCAGCUCACUAAACUAUUACUGACGCUCAGGGACGAAAGCGUGGGGAGCGAACAGGAUUAGAAACCCCAGUAGUCC
Molecule: ribosomal RNA, 274 nt
Filed under: uncultured bacterium
Lineage: Bacteria
Description: partial 16S ribosomal RNA
Rfam family: Bacterial small subunit ribosomal RNA
Source: RNAcentral